GGGGGGUCUGAAUUAGAAAGAAGAGAUUGAGAUUAUAAGUUAAGAAAUUGUGGUUUUAGAAUUUGAGGUUUGGAACGGAAAGAAGAGAUUGAGGUUAAAGGGAAGAUGGGUUUGGGGUUUGGAAUAUAUGAAGUAGAAGAUAAGGAAGAUGGGGUUUGGGGUUUCAGAUUUUAGGGAUUUAAACAUAAUCCUCGUUAUUUCCUCGUAAACUAACG
This 215-nucleotide long non-coding RNA is filed under the name Brassica napus (rape). RNAcentral describes it as "long non-coding RNA (BNAP_LNC017059)". Lineage: Eukaryota; Viridiplantae; Streptophyta; Magnoliopsida; Brassicales; Brassicaceae. The record is from RNAcentral.